UGACAUGCGCAGAUCAGUCUGUUCACCUCGGGUUUGGAGUGUCCUUUUGUUUUAACUUAACUCCAGUCAUUUUUAUGUUAUAUAAUAUUGAUGCGCAAUGGUUGUCAGGUGCUGCCUCAUCUACAUCUCGACUACUCUACUGUUGAUAGACAUGGUCUCUUUAAAGGUCACAGUUAAGAAUUUUGUUGGAGAAUCUGCCAUCUUGCCGUGUUCAUACACGGAAGAUAAAAAUCAAGUAGACAAAGUGUUUUGGAGACACAAUGACAGUAAGAAGGUGUAUGAGUUUAGUCCAGG
Molecule: non-coding RNA, 294 nt
Organism: Paramisgurnus dabryanus
Lineage: Eukaryota; Metazoa; Chordata; Actinopteri; Cypriniformes; Cobitidae
Source: RefSeq, a predicted model, not a curated record